AGUGGGUCAGUUGUCAAACUCAACUGAAACUGACUAUACUUUUCUUCUUUUCUCAACUAUAAAGUAUAAUUUAAAGUACCUGAAGUGACUGAUCAGACUGACUUAACAUUUAACGUUGGAAUUAAAAACAAAAGCUCAUGUUCUACUCAAUUCCCAUUGCUUACUUAAUUUCUGUUUCAUUGUGUAGUUUGUACUAGAACUAACUGAUGAGACAGUUCUUACCAUUUCAGAUUAUACCUGGUUUGACGGAAUGCUUAAAGUAAUUUAAGGUUGCUUUUAAGAAUGUUUUGUUUUCCUCUCACUUCACAUAUCUUUCUUCUGCCAGUUUCAUAUCUUGAAUACACCUUAAGGUUACUUUUAAAUCCGUGUACUAUUAAUUGCAAAUUUUGCGUUUGGGUUAAAAAUUGCAAUUAUUAUUAUGCGCAAUUAUUGAUAGUGAGUUUAUGAUGAUAUAACUAGUAGUAAUAAUUACUUAAUCGCAAUCUUUAAUAACAGGAAAAUUUACCUUAAGCUAAAAUUGUAAAAUUUAGCACCUGCAAUUAAACGUCACUCUAAGAUUGAUGUUGAAUGUACUUUCGAUUUCUCAUUGCUACUGUUAUUCAGUUUUAUGGUAGAAUUUAUGAUAGGAGUGAGUUAUAAGACAAUUAUUAUUUGACACUGGGUCUUACAUGAUGCGAAAAGUACCACUAAUUUUUUAUCAUUUGUUUCUUCAUUUCUCAGUUUUAUACUUUGGUGUAUACCAGGAGCGACUGAUCACACAGUUGUUAAUGUUUGACGUUUGUUUUUAAACAAUUUCCUGUACUACUAACUUCUUACUAUAUAUCCAUUUCUUAGUUUCAGAGUAAGGUGUAUCCAGAAGUGACAGAUCAAAUUGUGUUCUGAUCAUUUAUGGUUGGUUUUAAAAUAUUUCUUGUACUUUGUGACUUAUAUUUGUUUCUUUUGCUUAUAAAUUUCAUGUAGUUUUAGUUCAUACCUGGGUUGAUUUAGUUUUAUUCUCUUAGGUUGUUCUUUAAAUAUUUUUUAAGUUCCACUUCACUCAUGUUUCUUAUUUCCCCAUUUUCAUUUGAGGUGUAUACAUAAAGUAACUCAUCAGACUGGGUGGGUUUUCAUCAUUUAUGUCCAUUUUAAUAUAAGUCUUAAUUUACUUUUGACUUAUCUUUACUUGUUUCUUCUUUGAAUUCAUGGUACCCUUUAUACUAGGAGUCUCAGACAAAAUUAAUUUCAUAAUAGUUCUAGAAAUUAUGUUUAAUGCUAGACUUACUUUUUUCUGUUUCUUCAUUUCUCAGUUUCAUAUGUUGUAUACUAUGAGUGACUGUUUACACCGAGUUCCUAUCAUUUGAAAUUUGUCUUACAAAGAUGCUUGCUCUCAUUUUGGAUCUGUUGCUUCUAUUUAUUGUAAAUACCAGGAGUCAGUUAUUCGACCGAGUUCUAGUCAUUAGAUGUUCCACUUACCUCUCAAUCUUUUUCUUCACUCAGUUUCAAGCUAUAGUUUGUACCAGGAGUAACUGAUGAGAUCUAAUUUGUAUUAAUUUUGUCAUUUUAAGAUUUGUUACUGAAAUGUUUAAUGUUCCACUCAUUAUUUGCUUUUUUAGGUCUUUAGCAUGGUUUAGACCAGGAAUGAGUGAUCUGAUUGAGUUUUUAUCAUCUGGUUUUCAUGGUACAGUUUAUACCAUGAGUGACUGAUCAGACCGAGUUUUUGCCAUUUGAGUUAGGUCUUAAAAAUGAUACUCUAUGUACUGCUGACUCAUAGUAUAGUUGAAAAUACGAUAAGUGACAGAUCAGACUGAGUGCUCAUUAUUUCAAUUUUAUGAUGUAGUUUAUACCAGGAGUGACUUUUCAGACCAAGUUCUUAUCAUUGAUGUGGGUUUUAAAAUCUUAUUAUAAUUGACAAAAGGUACGUUAUGGCGAAUAGGAAAAUUACUCUGAUAGCCUAAGAAAUCUAACUUCCAGAGCUUAAUUUAUUAUAAAAUUAGUUUAGAGUAUGCAAUGCAAACAGUAACUGUCACAUUUAGAAACAAAUCUAACAGCACUCACAGGUUGAUAUUUUUUAUUAUAAAAUUCGCCACAAGGUACCAUUUGUCAAUUAUGGUCACAAAUGAUGCUUUACUUACUGCUCACUACUUCUUUUCUAAGUUUCAUUUUAUAGUUUAUUGCUAGAGAUUGAUCACACUGCAUUGUCAUUAAGUGAUUUUGGCUUUUAAAUGAUGUAACAUGUACACUGACCUUGCACUAUUUGUUUCCUUUCAAUUACAUAGUAUCUUCAAAAUACCUAAAGUGACUUAUGCGACAGAGUUCUUAUCAUCUGAGUUUUCCCCCCGGUUCAUACCUUAGCACUACCGGAGUGAUCAUACAGUCCUUAUCAAUUUUGAUUAAUUUGUGACGUUCCACGCAUUACUAAUUUCUCAGUACUUUACUCUUUUUUCCUCACUUUCACAGCAUAGUUUUUACCAGAAUUGACUGAUCAGACAGAGUUAUUAUUACUGAAAGUUGCAAAAUAAUGUGUUAUGAACUACUACUCACCCAUUUCUUUUCUCAAUUUUAAAGUAUAAUUCAAAUUACCAGUAAUAACAGAUGAGACUAAGUUCUUAUCAUUUCAGUUUCGAAUUUAAAUUAGAGUAUAGUUUAAAAUUUUGAUGAAAAAAUUUUGUAAAUAUUGCAUUUUUUCACGAUCAAUUAAAAUCUGUGAAAAUUGAUUCAAUACCAUUCAAGAUGGCCAAUAAGUUGAAAGACAACAAAAAGUAAAGCCACGAAAUUGAUUUUUAAACAGAUCCACAAAAUUUUUGGGCCAGGAGAAUUUUCUACACUAUUGUAGCUCAUGUUCUACAUUCUCAAAUUGGUUUUUUGUUCACUGUGUGUGUAGUUUAAACUAGGACUGACCAUCUGGGUUCUUAUCACUUGAAGUAGGUUUUAAGAUGAUUUCCUGUACUUUUUUUUCUCUUCGUUGCUUCUUUCGACAGAGUCAUGCUGUAGUUCUUUUAAAAACCUUAAGUGACAAAAUUCUUCAAGUCAUUUUAGAUUUUUUCCAUAAAAUUCUUCAUUUUCCUAAUAAUUCUUUCAUUUGGGCUUUGUUCUAUGCUUUGUGUACUUAUACCAUAAUUUAGAGAUCAGACAGUUCUUGUCAUUCAACGUUGGCUUUUAAAUUGUUUCAUGUACUACUAAUUUGUCACUAUUUGUUUUUCUCCUCAAUUCAUAGCAUAGUUAAUACAAGGACUGAUCAAACUCAGUUUUUAUCAUUUGAAGUUUUAAAAUGAUGUUUCAUGAAUAACUAACUUCUUUCACUUGUUUCUUUAUUUCUGUUUUAUAGUAUGUUUACACCUGAAACUUCUAGCUAUUUGUUUCUUUCUACUUUUAAGUUUCAUAAUGUACUUUAUACCUGAACGGACUGAGUUUCAUCAUUGGCAGUUGUUUUUUAAAAGUAAUGUUCCAUGUCUCUCCAUUUGUCUUUUUCCAUUUUCAUAGUGUCUUGUAUAUCUAAAGUAACUCAACACACUGGGUUUUUAUCAUUUGAAGUAGAGUUUAUACCAAGAGUCAUGAAUCAUUUGUUUCUUAGGUAGAGUUUAUACCAAGAGUCAUGAAUCAAACUUAUUUGAGUUUCAUAACAUGUAUGCUGUAAGUGGCUGGUUAGACUUAAUUCUUAUGAUUUGAGUAUACACCACAAGUAACUGAUUGGACAGAGUUAAAUUCUUUGUGUUUUAUAGUAUAGUUUAUACCUGGAGUGAUUCAUAACAUACAAUUCGUUAUAAUUUUAUAUUAGAGGUUUAUAGUAUGGUUCAACUUGGAGACUAAUCUGACUGAAUUCUUAUUAUGUGAUGUUACUUCUUAAGGAUACUCCAUUUUCACUGACUUUUAACUAUUUUUUUCUCAAUUUCAUAGUAUAGUAUGUACCAGUCCUGACUGACAUGACUACAUGUUCAUAUUAUGUGGUUGUCUUAAAUUGAUGUCUCAUGUACCACUUACAUGUAUUUAAUUCAUCAUUUCACAGUUUCUUGGUACAGUUGAUUGCGGUCUAACAAUAAUGUUUUACGUACUACUGGCUUUUUUCAAUGUUUCUUCUUUCUCAGUUGCAUAGCAUCAAUUACAGUUUCAGAAGAAACUGAUCAGACUAAAUUCUUAUUAUUUGACUUUGGUGUUGCAAUGAUGUUUAUGAACUACUGACUUUUCACUCUGCUUCUUGUUUUCUCAGUUUCAUACCAUAGGUUAUACCAAAAGUGACUAAACAGACUGAGUUCUUAUCAUUUGAGUACCAGGAGUAACUGAUCCGUCUGAGUUCUGAUCAUUUGCAAUUAGUUUUAAAAAUUAAUGAUGUGUCAACUUAAAUUCUCAUUUUCAUUUGUUUCACAGUAUGAUGUGCACCAAAAUUUCAUGUUGUGGUAUAUACCAUGAGUGACUGAUGACACUGUUCCUGUCAUUUGAGGCUGCUUUUAUAAUGACGUUAAUAUACAACUCACUUUUGAUUUGUUGCUCCUUUCAUAGUAUUCUUCAUUUUCAAGAUAAUUUAUUCAUUGAGUUUUAACUAAAAUAACCUAAGGAAAUGAAUCAGAACAUUGUUGCAAUGAUGAGUACCACGCCCAAUGGACCUUGUGCGUUGAACCUUCUAAUUAACGCGCAUCUCUCAACUGGAGUAAGAUGGUGGAUCUUUUGGUGAACAGGCAGGCUGAACAUUUUCCUUUUCUAUCAAGUCACCAUUAUCUUAGGAACCACUUUUAUUUCUUUUUGUUUCAUGACACUAUUUCUCCUGUAUGCUCUUUGGUUGUUGUUUAGGCUUUUUAAGCAGUUUUUAUAGGCCUAAUAACACGAUGUCCAGAAAUCUACAGUGCUGUACGGACCAGACUUAAAAAAUAAUGAUAUUCAUAGUUCAAUUAAUUAUUGUAAUUAUACUGAUUAUCAAUAAUUAAGUGUUGUCACAGUAACAAACAAUGGCGCAUUAAUGUAAACAAAAUAAAACUCCUGGAUUCUACAAGGAGUUUCAUGAAAAUGAAAAAAUAGUGGAUGAUGUAGGAUUUGUGACAAGUAAUGGUGUUCAAGAUAGUGUUUAUGAGGUGGAGAGGUUGGUUGAGAAAAGAAUUAAGGAGGGUCAUACAUGGUACUUGGUUCUGUGGAAGGGAUACUCUAAAGAAGAAUCAUUAUCGGUACCAUCUUAUUAUGUCUCUUGC
This 5153-nucleotide long non-coding RNA is filed under the name Amphimedon queenslandica. RNAcentral's name for it is "uncharacterized LOC109582474". The record is from RNAcentral. Lineage: Eukaryota; Metazoa; Porifera; Demospongiae; Haplosclerida; Niphatidae.